AUCCAGCUAAAGAGUUCUAAACAGGGCGAAAUGUAUAUUCUGGAU
This 45-nucleotide non-coding RNA is filed under the name Schistosoma mattheei. The record is from RNAcentral. Lineage: Eukaryota; Metazoa; Platyhelminthes; Trematoda; Strigeidida; Schistosomatidae.